This is a long non-coding RNA of Odocoileus virginianus texanus, 349 nucleotides long. RefSeq lists it as uncharacterized. NCBI's taxonomy places the organism in Eukaryota, Metazoa, Chordata, Mammalia, Artiodactyla, Cervidae. The record is from RefSeq and is a predicted model, not a curated record.
CAGAUGCCACUUGGCAUAUGUGAUGCUGUGUUCCCACUGGUUCCCUUUCCAGCUCUGGAGGAGCAUGACGGCAAUGAAGGCUGGGCACACUCGUGAUUCCCCCUUCAUCCUCCGCAAUGUUGACUUCAUGGUGACCUCCACAAACCUCCCGUUCGCAUGUCUGCAGUGCCCCAGGUUUGCAACGACACGCUUCCCUCCUCCAGAAGUUUCAUUCCUGUGGUGCCAAGGCUGGGAAACUUUAGCGAGCCAGGCUGUUCUGUAACUAACCUCAAUGUGGAAUCUGCCUAAGCCUUGAGUAAUGUAUUCCUUGCAUUAUUAAACACAGAUUAAAUAUAUAUGGAUAUUUAAA